GAUGAAGAACGUAGCGAAAUGCGAUAAGUAAUGUGAAUUGUAGAAUUCAGUGAAUCAUCGAAUCUUUGAACGCACAUUGCGCCCGCUAGUAUUCUGGCGGGCAUGCCUGUCCGAGCGUCAUUUCAACCCUCAAGCCCCCGGGCUUGGUGUUGGGGAUCGGCGAGCCUCCGCGCCCGCCGUCCCCUAAAUCUAGUGGCGGUCUCGCUGUAGCUUCCUCUGCGUAGUAGCACACCUCGCACUGGGAAACAGCGCGGCCACGCCGUUAAACCCCCAACUUCUGAACGUUUGACCUCGGAUCAGGUAGGAAUACCCGCUGAACUUAAGCAUAUCAAUAAGCGGAGGA
RNAcentral lists this unclassified non-coding RNA (343 nucleotides) under soil metagenome. Its description in RNAcentral is "partial contains 5.8S ribosomal RNA, internal transcribed spacer 2, and large subunit ribosomal RNA". The stretch from base 1 to 120 matches the Rfam family "5.8S ribosomal RNA", at positions 35 to 154 of the family's 154-position model. The record is from RNAcentral.